RNAcentral lists this ribosomal RNA (253 nucleotides) under uncultured bacterium. Its description in RNAcentral is "partial 16S ribosomal RNA". It matches the Rfam family "Bacterial small subunit ribosomal RNA", at positions 524 to 776 of the family's 1533-position model. The record is from RNAcentral.
GACAGAGGCCACGAACGUUGUUCGGAAUCACUGGGCAUAAAGCGCACGUAGGCGGCUGGGUCCGUCCGAUGUGAAAGCCCCCGGCCCAACCGGGGAAUUGCAUCGGAUACAGCCCGGCUUGAGGACGGUUGGGGUGAGUGGAACUCCUGGUGGAGCGGUGAAAUGCGUAGAUAUCAGGAGGAACACCGGUGGCGAAAGCGGCUCACUGGACCGUAACUGACGCUGAGGUGCGAAAGCUAGGGGAGCAAACGGG